This 107-nucleotide small nuclear RNA is filed under the name Castor canadensis (American beaver). Lineage: Eukaryota; Metazoa; Chordata; Mammalia; Rodentia; Castoridae. The record is from RNAcentral.
GUGCUCGCUUCGGCAGCACAUAUACUAAAAUUGGAAUGAUACAGAGAAGAUUAACAUGGCCCCUGCACAAGGAUGACACGCAAAUUUGUGAAGUGUUCAUGUUUUAA